RNAcentral lists this ribosomal RNA (2903 nucleotides) under Enterobacter hormaechei. RNAcentral describes it as "23S ribosomal RNA". It matches the Rfam family "Bacterial large subunit ribosomal RNA". Lineage: Bacteria; Pseudomonadati; Pseudomonadota; Gammaproteobacteria; Enterobacterales; Enterobacteriaceae. The record is from RNAcentral.
GGUUAAGCGACUAAGCGUACACGGUGGAUGCCCUGGCAGUCAGAGGCGAUGAAGGACGUGCUAAUCUGCGAAAAGCGCCGGCGAGGUGAUAUGAACCUUUGACCCGGCGAUGUCCGAAUGGGGAAACCCAGUGCAAUCCGUUGCACUAUCGUUAACUGAAUACAUAGGUUAACGAGGCGAACCGGGGGAACUGAAACAUCUAAGUACCCCGAGGAAAAGAAAUCAACCGAGAUUCCCCCAGUAGCGGCGAGCGAACGGGGAGCAGCCCGGAGUCUGAAUCAGCUUGUGUGUUAGUGGAACGGUCUGGAAAGUCCGACGGUACAGGGUGAUAGUCCCGUACACGAAAGCACACAUGCUGUGAACUCGAAGAGUAGGGCGGGACACGUGGUAUCCUGUCUGAAUAUGGGGGGACCAUCCUCCAAGGCUAAAUACUCCUGACUGACCGAUAGUGAACCAGUACCGUGAGGGAAAGGCGAAAAGAACCCCGGCGAGGGGAGUGAAAAAGAACCUGAAACCGUGUACGUACAAGCAGUGGGAGCCUCUUUAUGGGGUGACUGCGUACCUUUUGUAUAAUGGGUCAGCGACUUAUAUUCUGUAGCAAGGUUAACCGUAUAGGGGAGCCGAAGGGAAACCGAGUCUUAACUGGGCGUUAAGUUGCAGGGUAUAGACCCGAAACCCGGUGAUCUAGCCAUGGGCAGGUUGAAGGUUGGGUAACACUAACUGGAGGACCGAACCGACUAAUGUUGAAAAAUUAGCGGAUGACCUGUGGCUGGGGGUGAAAGGCCAAUCAAACCGGGAGAUAGCUGGUUCUCCCCGAAAGCUAUUUAGGUAGCGCCUCGUGAACUCAUCUUCGGGGGUAGAGCACUGUUUCGGCUAGGGGGCCAUCCCGGCUUACCAACCCGAUGCAAACUACGAAUACCGAAGAAUGUUAUCACGGGAGACACACGGCGGGUGCUAACGUCCGUCGUGAAGAGGGAAACAACCCAGACCGCCAGCUAAGGUCCCAAAGUCAUGGUUAAGUGGGAAACGAUGUGGGAAGGCACAGACAGCCAGGAUGUUGGCUUAGAAGCAGCCAUCAUUUAAAGAAAGCGUAAUAGCUCACUGGUCGAGUCGGCCUGCGCGGAAGAUGUAACGGGGCUAAACCAUGCACCGAAGCUGCGGCAGCGACACUAUGUGUUGUUGGGUAGGGGAGCGUUCUGUAAGCCGUUGAAGGUGUGCUGUGAGGCAUGCUGGAGGUAUCAGAAGUGCGAAUGCUGACAUAAGUAACGAUAAAGCGGGUGAAAAGCCCGCUCGCCGGAAGACCAAGGGUUCCUGUCCAACGUUAAUCGGGGCAGGGUGAGUCGACCCCUAAGGCGAGGCCGAAAGGCGUAGUCGAUGGGAAACAGGUUAAUAUUCCUGUACUUGGUGUUACUGCGAAGGGGGACGGAGAAGGCUAUGUCAGCCGGGCGACGGUUGUCCCGGUUUAAGCAUGUAGGCGGAGGUUCCAGGUAAAUCCGGUACCUUAUUAACGCUGAGGUGUGAUGACGAGGCACUACGGUGCUGAAGUGAUAAAUGCCCUGCUUCCAGGAAAAGCCUCUAAGCAUCAGGUAACACGAAAUCGUACCCCAAACCGACACAGGUGGUCAGGUAGAGAAUACCAAGGCGCUUGAGAGAACUCGGGUGAAGGAACUAGGCAAAAUGGUGCCGUAACUUCGGGAGAAGGCACGCUGAUGUGUAGGUGAAGCCCCUGCGGGCGGAGCUGAAAUCAGUCGAAGAUACCAGCUGGCUGCAACUGUUUAUUAAAAACACAGCACUGUGCAAACACGAAAGUGGACGUAUACGGUGUGACGCCUGCCCGGUGCCGGAAGGUUAAUUGAUGGGGUUAGCGGCAACGCGAAGCUCUUGAUCGAAGCCCCGGUAAACGGCGGCCGUAACUAUAACGGUCCUAAGGUAGCGAAAUUCCUUGUCGGGUAAGUUCCGACCUGCACGAAUGGCGUAAUGAUGGCCAGGCUGUCUCCACCCGAGACUCAGUGAAAUUGAACUCGCUGUGAAGAUGCAGUGUACCCGCGGCAAGACGGAAAGACCCCGUGAACCUUUACUAUAGCUUGACACUGAACACUGGUCCUUGAUGUGUAGGAUAGGUGGGAGGCUUUGAAGCGUGGACGCCAGUCUGCGUGGAGCCAACCUUGAAAUACCACCCUUUAAUGGCUGGUGUUCUAACGUAGACCCGUAAUCCGGGUUGCGGACAGUGUCUGGUGGGUAGUUUGACUGGGGCGGUCUCCUCCCAAAGAGUAACGGAGGAGCACGAAGGUUGGCUAAUCCUGGUCGGACAUCAGGAGGUUAGUGCAAUGGCAUAAGCCAGCUUGACUGCGAGCGUGACGGCGCGAGCAGGUGCGAAAGCAGGUCAUAGUGAUCCGGUGGUUCUGAAUGGAAGGGCCAUCGCUCAACGGAUAAAAGGUACUCCGGGGAUAACAGGCUGAUACCGCCCAAGAGUUCAUAUCGACGGCGGUGUUUGGCACCUCGAUGUCGGCUCAUCACAUCCUGGGGCUGAAGUAGGUCCCAAGGGUAUGGCUGUUCGCCAUUUAAAGUGGUACGCGAGCUGGGUUUAGAACGUCGUGAGACAGUUCGGUCCCUAUCUGCCGUGGGCGCUGGAGAAUUGAGGGGGCUGCUCCUAGUACGAGAGGACCGGAGUGGACGCAUCACUGGUGUUCGGGUUGUCAUGCCAAUGGCACUGCCCGGUAGCUAAAUGCGGAAGAGAUAAGUGCUGAAAGCAUCUAAGCACGAAACUUGCCCCGAGAUGAGUUCUCCCUGAGACUUUAAGUCUCCUGAAGGAACGUUGAAGACGACGACGUUGAUAGGUCGGGUGUGUAAGCGCAGCGAUGCGUUGAGCUAACCGAUACUAAUGAACCGUGAGGCUUAACCUU